GAUGAACGCUGGCGGCGUGCUUAACACAUGCAAGUCGAACGAGAAGUGAAGACGGAAACCUUCGGGCGGAAGGCUUUAUUUCGAGUGGCGGACGGGUGAGUAACGCGUGGGUAACCUGCCUCAUACAGGGGGAUAACAGUUGGAAACGACUGUUAAUACCGCAUAAGACCACAGCACCGCAUGGUGCGGGGGUAAAAACUCCGGUGGUAUGAGAUGGACCCGCGUUCGAUUAGCCAGUUGGCGGGGUAACGGCCCACCAAAGCGACGAUCGAUAGCCGAGCUGAGAGGAUGACCGGCCACAUUGGGACUGAGACACGGCCCAAACUCCUACGGGAGGCAGCAGUGGGGAAUAUUGCACAAUGGGGGAAACCCUGAUGCAGCGACGCCGCGUGAGUGAAGAAGUAUGUCGGUAUGUAAAGCUCUAUCAGUAGGGAAGAAAAUGACGGUACCUGAGUAAGAAGCCCCGGCUAACUACGUG
This 478-nucleotide ribosomal RNA is filed under the name uncultured bacterium. RNAcentral's name for it is "partial 16S ribosomal RNA". It matches the Rfam family "Bacterial small subunit ribosomal RNA", at positions 28 to 507 of the family's 1533-position model. The record is from RNAcentral.